AUGAUUGCUUUCGGAGAUGUGCUUGAAGCCUGCAACCUAUCUGAUCUAGGUUUCUCUGGCUACCCAUUCACAUACGAUAAUAAAUGCAGCGGGCGUGCUAACGUGCAAGUGAGACUUGACAGGGCAGUGGCUGAUAAUGCGUGGAGAAGUAAAUUCCCGGAAGCUUCAGUGAAGCACUUGAUUUCUUCAUGUUCAGACCACCUCCCCGUUCUCGUGCGGUGUACGCCUGAAUCGGGCGGCAGGGUGAGGUGUGUACGGCGUUAUGAAGUAAUGUGGGAACGUGAAGCGGCUCUUGAGAAAGUUGUGGCAGAAGCUUGGAGUGAGGGAGGUAAAAAGCAUGGCCUACACGAUGUCAAAGUAUCCUUGGAUAAGGUGAUGGAAAAACUUCAUUCCUGGAGCCGCAAAAAAUUUGGGAACGUAGUUAAGGAAAUUGAGAAAUCUAGGUCCAGAUUAGAGGAACUAAUGAACAUGAACGCAGACCGUAAGGAAAUUCGGAAAGAGUCAGAUCACCUGGACGAAUUAUUGUACAGAGAGGAGAUGCUU
This 543-nucleotide ribosomal RNA is filed under the name Triticum aestivum (bread wheat). RNAcentral describes it as "partial small subunit ribosomal RNA". The record is from RNAcentral. Lineage: Eukaryota; Viridiplantae; Streptophyta; Magnoliopsida; Poales; Poaceae.